Molecule: transfer RNA, 97 nt
Filed under: Methylibium sp.
Lineage: Bacteria; Pseudomonadati; Pseudomonadota; Betaproteobacteria; Burkholderiales; Sphaerotilaceae
Description: tRNA-Sec
Rfam family: Selenocysteine transfer RNA
Source: RNAcentral
GGAAGAGAAGCGCUCCCCGGUGGGACGUCCGGUCUUCAAAACCGGAAGGGGCCGUUCUACGGUCCCUGGUGGGUUCGACUCCUACUCUUUUCCGCCA